Fopius arisanus is the source of this 667-nucleotide long non-coding RNA. RefSeq lists it as uncharacterized. The transcript has 2 exons. The record is from RefSeq and is a predicted model, not a curated record. NCBI's taxonomy places the organism in Eukaryota, Metazoa, Arthropoda, Insecta, Hymenoptera, Braconidae.
UCUGCGGCGUUCCGUAAUUUUUAUCUGAAUUAUCUGUAGAAAAUUACGAUACCGUCCCUUCGACUUUUCGAGUUGGUUCCGUAAUCGGCAAGCGAACUGAAAGUUCCAUAAUUUUUACUAAAUAUUUCUCUCCGCGCGAUUAUUAAUAAAAUUUGAAAUAAACAAAGGCAUUUCUGAUGAGAAAAUAAAACACAUCGUAGUAAUAAAUACCGCUUAUCAAUCCAAUAAAUCCCUGAAUAUUAACCGAUAAUAUGAACCGUGAAAUUUACAGGCGACAUGAGCAUUUAAUCGAGUGAAUUUAUUACUGAUCAUAAAUGUUGAAGAUUUCCCUUGAAAAGUCGAUGUUCUGUCCAUCAAGGGUGAUAACUUCCCUGAAAGAGCAGACGAUCAGACCAUUCCCUGGAAAUCUCAAGUGUCGAUUUAUUAUUUCAACGAUGAAUCGUCUGCAAAUAACUGUUUUGUUCAUUACCCUGAUAAUGGGUAUCAUUGAUCGUCUCAUGGAGAUUCCACUCAAGUUCAUUAGAAAAAUCCCGAUAAUUGGAUAAAUGCGGUGCAACGAGUUUCAAGAGGUGAAUUAUUAUGGACGGAUAAUUACGGGAGAACUAAUGAAUUUAAGAGGAAGAAUUAUUAUCAGAUGUUCAAAUUAAAUAAAUUGUCAUUAGGUUAA